RNAcentral lists this long non-coding RNA (1993 nucleotides) under Oryza sativa (Asian cultivated rice). RNAcentral describes it as "long non-coding RNA (OSAT_LNC001880)". Lineage: Eukaryota; Viridiplantae; Streptophyta; Magnoliopsida; Poales; Poaceae. The record is from RNAcentral.
UGCACCCACUCUCGGCACGGCGGUGAGCUCCUCCUCCUAACUCGGCUACUCCCUUCAACCGCCGCGUCGGCUCCGCUCCGGCCGCCGACCCCUUCUGCACCGUUGGGUUCGGGGGGUUGCCGGGUUGGGGGAAGGCGGCUCCUCCUCGCCGGCGCUGCUCGGUUCGAUUCGGAGGGGGAGGAGACCAGCCGCGAGCACUGUAGUGGCGAUGUGACGCCCCUUCCCUUACCAGUAACCAGUACUCACUUUGUGCCUCUGUUUAUCUAUUAUUCAGUUUCACUAGAUGUUAAUUUGAGAGGUAGGGCGCUAGGCCUGUAAAAUUUUACCCAAUAAGGUCAGUUGAUAUUUUUUUUAUUCACUUCAUGUAGUGAUUAACCCUAACACGAUCCUAGUUGAUGGCUGGGCAUGGGCAGAACUGCACAAGUAGUGCUUGGAGUUGGCAAGGGAAUUUUAUAGAGGGAUUCUGCGAAAUCGAGUGAAAGGAAUAGUUAUGUUUGCAUCGUACUUUGAUUGGUACAAUCGGCUCUCUCUUCAAAGUUUUUAUCGAUUAUUACCCCCUUAUUGCAGUGCCUCACUUGGUCAUAGCUAUCUUUUGUUCAUUUAUUAGAUAAGUGAUGUCCCAGCAUUGUCGUUUCAGACAUUCUGUAAGUAUUCCACUGUCUACCUCUCCAAUACACAAUCACUUGAUUUUGAGUUCUCUAUGGUUCCCGGCAGUUGACUUCACAGAUCUAGUAGUGCUAUGCUUUACACUUACAGCUGCUGUGCAAUAGAUUUUUGUUUUGGCUCCUACUAUUGUGAACUCAACGAAAUAGUUUCCAUCAAAUAGAAAGUGAAAUACAGGGGUCAAAUAAUUUCAAGGGAAAUAAAAGAUAUUGGAGUUCAGUACUUUUUGCAGUAACAAUAACCUGUCAGGGUUGCAUGACAGAAGUCAUAUUCCCUGAAGGGCUGAAUGGGGAGAUGAAUCUUCCCUGAUUUUCAUAUACUCUUAGGCUUUAUAAUAAUGAUAGCCUCUGAAUAAACCCUUCAAAAUGUUAAGUUUGACUAGGAUAGUGAUUGACAGCAUCGAUGUAAGUGAAUGAUUAUUUUGUUUUUGAACAAUCUUUCAUGCAUCACAUCCAGCUUGCACUGUCAUCAUGUAAACGUUAUUUAGGUCAGUAGUCAAGUUGUUAAGGGCAUGUAAGUUUGUUUCAUUAUUGUUUAAAGUAGGCUUUAGCAUAUACUGCAAGUUAUGUCUGGUGAAGCAAUAAUAAUUUAUUUGAUGUGACGUGUGUAAAAUAUGAUAAGGAGGAUUACCGUGUGAAACUCAAGCUAACAUAGUUUUUUCAGUUUGUUUUAUACUUUAUAUGUGGGACCCAAACUAGUAAUAUUGAACUUAUUUCUACAUGCUUCAAUACAUAACAACUCUAUACAACAAUGACUUCCAUAUAUUUAUUAUUCAUUUGUAAGCCAGUUAGUCCUAAAAGAAACAAGGAAAUAUGUGGAGCUAUUUUGAUCACUGAUUCCUCUGAUUCUGUUCUUUUUCCUUUUUUUCUUUACCCCCUGUGGGUAAUUAUAUAUAUAAGAAUUGAUGAUAUGUGAUUCGAUGACUUAUUUGGAAUAAUCCUUUGAGUUUCAUCUGUUCUAUUGAUAUCUAUACUACAUCAGUUUCUGUCCAAAUGUUUAUUUCAGGUGAAGAAUCUUACACUGGCAUUUGCUGUUCGAGUAGCUGCGUGACUCUUAUCAGAACUCCGGCAUAUCAAUUGAUGAGGCCCAACUUGGUGAGAAUCUUCCUAUUUUGGGCUAUGCGGUGAUAAUCUAAAGAUUUCCUUUAAUGGUUAAUAUGUAAGCGGCAGACUCCUUAUCUAACUUCUAGUUUACAAUAUCUCUAUCAAAGUUGUGGCAAUUGUAAGUAUGGUCUGUGAAAAUGACCCCUCAAAGGCCAACCCACUUGUAUGGCUGGAAAGUUACAGGAAUUUUUAUGCUCAUAUGUUCCUAUCAGUCAACAGUAACGUUU